Cyprinus carpio (common carp) is the source of this 842-nucleotide long non-coding RNA. RefSeq lists it as uncharacterized. The transcript has 5 exons. Lineage: Eukaryota; Metazoa; Chordata; Actinopteri; Cypriniformes; Cyprinidae. The record is from RefSeq and is a predicted model, not a curated record.
UAAUUGUAGUCUCUGACAGAGAAAAGCUGUUCAGUUCUAGCUACUGUUCUCUCCUCCCAAACCAUCCUGAAAGAGCUGAACCUGAACAACAGCCGUCUGCUGGACUCAGGAGUCAAAGAGAUCUGUGAGGGACUGAAGAAUCCUGUGUGUGAGCUGAAGAUACUCAAUCUGUGUAGAUGCAGUAUUACAGAGAAACAGUGUCUCAUCCUGACUUUAGCUUUGUGUUCAAACUUAUCACACCUGAGAGAACUGGACCUGAGUGGAAAUAAAAUAGAAAACAAAGGAGUGAAGCAUGUAUCUGAAACAUUGAAGGAUGUACGCUGUAAACUGGAGAGACUGAGGUUAAGAGGCUGUGAUAUGAAAGAUGAAGGUUGUUUAUGUACUGACUUCAGCUCUGAAAUCAAAACCCAUCACACCUGAGAGAGCUGGACCUGAGUGAGAAUGAACUAGGAGACUCUGGAGUGAAAAAAAACCUCAGUGAUCUACUGAAGAACCCACAAUGCAGGCUGGAAAUACUAGCACUGUGUAAAUGCAGUAUUAAAGAGAAGCAGUGUGAGUUCCUGACUUCAGCUCUGAAAUCAAACCCAUCACACCUGAGAGAACUGGACCUCAGUGGAAAUGUACUUCAACACACAAAAGAGAAUAAAUUUUAUGAUAUACUGAAGGAUCCAUGCUUUAAACUGGAGAGAUUGAGGUUAAGGACUUGUGAUAUAAAAGCUGAUGAUUGUUCAGCUCUGACUUCAGCUCUGAAAUCAAGCCCAUCACAUCUGAGAGAGCUGGACCUGAGUGGGAAUAAAUUAGGAUACUCUGGAGUGGAAAACCUUGGUGUUCUGUCGGGCAGU